RNAcentral lists this ribosomal RNA (468 nucleotides) under uncultured bacterium. Its description in RNAcentral is "partial 16S ribosomal RNA". It matches the Rfam family "Bacterial small subunit ribosomal RNA", at positions 28 to 507 of the family's 1533-position model. The record is from RNAcentral.
GACGAACGCUGGCGGCGUGCUUAACACAUGCAAGUCGAACGGAAAGGCCCUGCUUUUGUGGGGUGCUCGAGUGGCGAACGGGUGAGUAACACGUGAGUAACCUGCCCUUGACUUUGGGAUAACUUCAGGAAACUGGGGCUAAUACCGGAUAGGAGCUCCUGCUGCAUGGUGGGGGUUGGAAAGUUUCGGCGGUUGGGGAUGGACUCGCGGCUUAUCAGCUUGUUGGUGGGGUAGUGGCUUACCAAGGCUUUGACGGGUAGCCGGCCUGAGAGGGUGACCGGCCACAUUGGGACUGAGAUACGGCCCAGACUCCUACGGGAGGCAGCAGUGGGAAAUAUUGCACAAUGGGCGGAAGCCUGAUGCAGCAACGCCGCGUGCGGGAUGACGGUCUUCGGGUUGUAAACCGCUUUCGCCUGUGACGAAGCGUGAGUGACGGUAAUGGGUAAAGAAGCACCGGCUAACUACGUG